RNAcentral lists this ribosomal RNA (253 nucleotides) under uncultured bacterium. RNAcentral describes it as "partial 16S ribosomal RNA". It matches the Rfam family "Bacterial small subunit ribosomal RNA", at positions 524 to 776 of the family's 1533-position model. The record is from RNAcentral.
UACGUAGGGUGCAAGCGUUGUCCGGAAUUAUUGGGCGUAAAGAGCUCGUAGGUGGCUUGUCGCGUCGGCUGUGAAAACUCGGGGCUCAACUCCGAGCUUGCAGUCGAUACGGGCAGGCUAGAGUUCGGCAGGGGAGACUGGAAUUCCUGGUGUAGCGGUGAAAUGCGCAGAUAUCAGGAGGAACACCGGUGGCGAAGGCGGGUCUCUGGGCCGAUACUGACACUGAGGAGCGAAAGCGUGGGGAGCGAACAGG